GAGGGGCCCGCGCCCGAUUAGCUUGUUGGUAGGGUAACGGCCUACCAAGGCUUUGAUCGGUAGCCGGUCUGAGAGGAUGGCCGGCCACACUGGAACUGAGACACGGUCCAGACUCCUACGGGAGGCAGCAGUGGGGAAUCUUGCGCAAUGGGCGAAAGCCUGACGCAGCGACGCCGCGUGGGGGAUGAAGCCUUUCGGGGUGUAAACCCCUUUCGACCCGGACGAAUGGCCCGCAAGGGAAUUGACGGUACGGGUAGAAGAAGCCCCGGCUAACUACGUGCCAGCAGCCGCGGUAAGACGUAGGGGGCCAGCGUUGCCCGGAAUUACUGGGCGUAAAGGGUCCGUAGGCGGUGCGGCAAGUCGGGGGUGAAAUCUCUGGGCUUAACUCAGAGGCUGCCUCCGAAACCGCCGUGCUCGAGUGCGGGAGAGGCGAGCGGAAUUGCAGGUGUAGCGGUGAAAUGCGUAGAUAUCUGCAGG
RNAcentral lists this ribosomal RNA (477 nucleotides) under uncultured Acidobacteriota bacterium. RNAcentral's name for it is "bacterial SSU rRNA". It matches the Rfam family "Bacterial small subunit ribosomal RNA", at positions 224 to 704 of the family's 1533-position model. Lineage: Bacteria; Pseudomonadati; Acidobacteriota. The record is from RNAcentral.